RNA transcript from Diachasmimorpha longicaudata, 8660 nucleotides. It is a transcript of the gene named coiled-coil domain-containing protein 112-like, with no coding region annotated. The record is from RefSeq and is a predicted model, not a curated record. The transcript has 4 exons. NCBI's taxonomy places the organism in Eukaryota, Metazoa, Arthropoda, Insecta, Hymenoptera, Braconidae.
CGGCACUGCCGGCAUCUCGCAUUCGUAAACAAACUACUGCAGCGUUCAGAUCAUUAUUUCGACACCCUAAAACGUUAUUCAUUAAACGUGUAUAUUAUACAUUGACAGUAUAUUAUUAAUACGGUGAUACAAUGUAGAAACGGCGACGCAGUGCGGAGCGCGAGCAUUUACCAGCGCCCUUGUGGCUUGGUGCUUGAACAAUCCGUACUCAAUCAACAACUGUACCAGCUGUGGCGUUAGGUUUUCAUUUUUAAUCUGAUGAUUAUUCAAUAUCACCAUUGAACUGGAUGAAUUUCUAGAGUUCAUAAAAUUUCACUCGAGAUGUAGCUCCAUCUCGUACCCCCAAUGAAAAAGCCAAUGUCAUAACAAUAAAGGAGAAGAGGACACUAAUAGCCCGUGAUUAAAAAGACCGAAGUCCAAUCGAGCCGAAUUAUUCAACUGUUUAAACCGGGGCCGUUGGCUCUCUGGGCCCUUGAAAAAAAAAUCCCCUGUCGGGUUAGCCCGAGAGGUGCCCAAUACUUACCUUUCUGGUCGCUGUAAUCGUGAGAACCCCAUCGGAGGAGAGGCUCGACGUGACUCCCAGUGGGUCGUGUGUCGCAGGUAGCAAAUAACGCCUGACAAAGUGACGGCUUAUAAAACCGUGCUCAUCCUUCUUCUCUUCGUGUUUGGCCUCGACGAUAACAUUAUCAUCGACUGUCUUCACACGUAUUUCGUCCGGUGAAAAUUGCUGUACAUCGAGUAUCACCUGAUUGAGAGAAAUUAAUCAUCGGGUCAUUUUAUCAUCGCACAAGACAACUGGAGAACCAGGGAAAUUAAACACUGAGUAGAAAAGUCUAAAAUGUAAUUACGAAGUACACCAACUUCUGGGAAUAUUUCGUUGAUAUCAAUACCGAAGUAGAGUUGAUGAUGAUUUACUUGUGCGGAGUAUACGCUGAAAGGAGGAAGGGCAUAUCGCCAUGUUACUUCAUUGAAAAUUACAAUUUUAUCAAGGACAGGGAUAUGAGGGCCUCGCGCAUGCUGAGCGAUUACUAUCGCUUAAGAACUGAGAAUUGAAGGAAUUAUUUUUCAUUAUUUUCCUUUCUGAAUGACCACUCCUAAUUUUAAUUGAUUCCGUAUGUAGGUAAUCACUCAGUAAUGUGUAUGUGAGAGCGGUGAAAUUAUAAGAGAGAGAGAGAGAAAAAGAGAGAGAGAGAGCUGUUGACACCUUCGGUUGCGUCGUUUAUUGGCCGUCGGGGUUGUAACGCAUUUAUUUUUCUAUAUAUUGUAUUUAACAAGCCGAGAUUGAAGAGAAGGAAUAUUUAUCGUUGAAAAAAUAAGGCCGAGGCCCCAGGGGGGGGGGUGCCGGGCGCUCCGAGGCCCCUGGACACGGCCCGAGAUACCGUGUGGCUUGACAAUAUUUUGUAAAAGGGAAAAACAUUUUAAAACAUUACUUUGAUUUUUUUUUAUCGAAGACUGAAUUGAUAAUGAGAAGCACCUUUUUUUAUAAAAUAGUCAAACACUGAAUUAAAAAAAAAACCGAUAGUGAGAGUAUUAAUUGUGAAAAUAGCAGGUACAACUGUGAUUUUGGUAAACAGACGAUUUUACAUUUCCCCUGAGGCACUUGAGAUCUUUUCGAAAUUAUUGUACAUUUUGAAGAAAGUAUUUGAAAAAAAAAUUCGUAAUUGUUGGUACAAUUUAAUAUUUUGAGAAAGUCACAGCGCCCCCCUGACUGAGGGGGGUCAGCUCCACUGAAAUGCAACAGUGUUUUUCGUGAAUGACAGAAUAGAGACAUCCAUCUCAUGAAUCAUCUGACAAUGUACCGAUCGCGAUCAUAAAUAUACUGUAUCAUAGAAUGUCACGCGCUUCUGAUUGUUCAAUCAAUUGUAAAAUAGUACAGAGAUUCGUCGAUUUUUUUUUCACAUCAAAACUUUCGAUGCGAGCAUAAGAAAGAUCGAGUCAUUAAUUAUUUUUUUUUAUUGUGAAAAAUUCUGUUUACGAAUGCCAAAUCAUUUGAUUCGCAUCAUCAUCGAUCUAGAGGAUUGAAUUGUUCCAUCAAAUUCAUAAUCGAGUGUUUUGGAAGAUUGAAAUUACUUGUAAGUCAUCUUUCUCGUAUUAUCACGUAGUUAUAUAUCAACGCUCAAGGAAAAUAAAGUAUUGCUGAGUUACAGGUGUAUGCAAUAGAUUUAAAAAUCAUCGAGGAGUUGGAGUUACUGAGGCGUUUUAUCCAGUUACCUUGACGAGUAAAUAAUUAACAACAGAAAGGAAAAUUUUCGAGUAAUAAAUCGGUACAUUAAUCUGAAACGUACUUAGUAGAUAAACUAGAUCAUUCCAUCCACUAGACGACGAGCCAAAGAGUCAAGGCUCGAGGCAAACAUCAACAAAUUACGUUUAAUUAGAACUGAGUAAAAGUAAAGCUCAUCAGGUGCUCCGAUUCUGAGGGAAUAACUGUCUGAGGGGAAACUCGUGUCGUGGAAGUACGAUUCAGUACGCCCAGUCGUACUUUAGUACUUCCACGACACGAUUUUUAUUUAAAAAAAAAUCAAAAUUGAGGGUUAAUGAAUUCUGAAGGAGUUGUUCACUAUUAAUCAAUGUUUUUUGGAAAUCGCGAGUAUUUGAUGAUUUUUUCUUAUUAGUUAACAUCUUUCAAAGGUCGGGAGUUCUAUUAUAGUGAUUUGCAAGGUAUACUAUUAGAUUUUAAGUAAUUGGUUUGCGUGUUGUGUCUCGUGUGGCAUCUCCACAGUAUCUUUCCCUUUCUUUUGCUAAAGUAAUUUGACAGUUUUGAUCAUCUCUUUUUUUUACAUCGUUGCUAUUCCAUUUUAUCUGGGUUUCUGAUAUCUUUUAUUGAUUGCAUUAUUGAUUCAAAAAUUAUUGGAAUUUGAUUAAUUUUGUUUGACUUCGGACAAUGCUCGGCUUUUCAGUCGCUCAGUUUCAAUUGGGGGAUUGAAAAGUCAUGUGUUGUCCUGAAUUAUUUGAUUGCUUCGAGGCUUUUGUCAAAGUGGUCAAUCUAGCGCCUUAGGCGAUUCAACGUACUUUUACUGGGAGUAAAGCUCUAUCGAUAUCUUCCAUUCGUAACAAAAAAUUAAGAGAGGGAAAAAGAGACGAUUGAAUAACUAAUAUUGCGAUCUUCCAUACGCUAGCAUUCUCGUAUUUCUUUUAAAUCGUGCCUUAUUUAAUCCAAAAACUAAUUCAAUAGUAGUGAUUGUUUAAGACAUUAAACCGUCGUCGAUUCCUGCUUCUCCUCGAGUUUUCAUCUGUUGAGAACUCGGGGAGAAACAGGAAUCGCCUUUCGCGAUUUGACAACAUGAAAAUACCGUAAAUCUUCCAGCACUUGAAAUUCCAGUCAUAAAAAUUUGAAUUUAAAACUGAAAAGAAUUUAAUUUGAAUGAAUUUUUAAAAUUACAUCGACAUUGGCCAGUAUAAAAUCAGGAGGUCUUUAUUCGCAACCAGAGACACAAUUUUUCCUGAUAAUAAGACUCUAAUUAGGAAACAUAAUAAAAAAAUGUGCAUUGAUAGAAUGACUUAAUUAUUCUAAAGGAGAUUUGUUAAUUAUUAACAAAGCGCGGAGUUCAGUUGAAAGAUUAAAGUGGAGUCAAGCAGAGCUCCUCGAAUAUGCAUUUGUCAAUUACCAACGAAUGAAUAUUUGGUGAGACUGAAUAAUGCCAUAAUCUCCAACCAAAUUCCUUCGUUAACAAUAACUAAUACUUUCUAUCAAUGCGGGCAGUCCAUCAGGUGCCAUCUAAUGCCCAUCUAAAUUUGCAUUGUGAAAUCGAGUAAGUAAAAAUUACACAUAAUUACCGCGUAAUCAUUCACUACUUUGAAAAACUUGAAAAAUGAAAAAAAAAAUAUAAAAAAAAUUAAAAAAAUUAAAUAUAGGAGCCCCUUAACCUCCGUGAAUGUCUCCACUUCUAUAAGCUAGGAUUUUUGAUGCUAUCGCGAUAAUAAUCAUAGGUUAAGACAUCUUAUAUCUAUGCCUAACUCAUUAGAUAUAACGAUAGUUGAACGUUGUGAUGAUAAUCUCGAUAAUAUCUUAGGGUAAUCGGGGAACCGAACCACUUGACGUAAUGCUUGUAAGAUCAUCAGAAGAUAUUCAGAAUUGAGAGAAGAAAAAAAUAAAGUAGCAACAAUAAUCAGAACAAUUAACAAAAAGGACCGUGCUAGAGAUAAAAAUGAAAAUAUCCAAUGCUCACCUCAAAUUUGUCUUUGUCACACUGAAUAGUGCUCGCACCACCAGAAUUUUGUCUUGCCAAUGUUCUCCAUGGCCUGUAGUAACCGGGCGUGCUGAACAACGGUCGUGAUCUACCAAGUCCCAAUGAUGAGAAACUCGUUAGUAAAUCGUCACGACUCAGGCCACUACCAAAGUGCUGAUCAAUCAAUCUCGAUGCUGGACGAUCGAAUUCCUCCCACCAGUCGCGAAACAUUAGUGGAACAAUAGACAUUCUGUGAACAUCAAUGAUAACACCACACGAUGAGUCUAAUUAGCAUGUCAAAUAGAUUAAUUACGGCAUUUCAAACCAAGAGAGAGAGAGAGAAAAAAAAAUUGAAAAACCAAAAAAAAAUUGAUAAUGAUGUAGGGUAACAAAAACAAUCGGGAGGCGAUUAAAAUCUAAAUCCUUGCUAUUAUCUCUCCAAUCGCUAUUUGAACACCCCUAGGCUUAAGGAAUAGGUAUUACUGGUGCUGGAAUAAAUUGAGAAUGGAGAUAAGAUUCAAUAAGCAGAUGAAAAUCAAGUACAACGGUUUAAUUGACGAUAGAGAUGGUAUCUUCUCAAAUAUUAUCGUAGAGGUUUGAGGCAGCUCUCCCAAGAGACCCAGCACGUACAGCACUAAGUCCAGAUCAUUUGAGUCCUAUUAGUUUAAGGCAAUUAUAUCAUUGGGUUUACUAGGAUAAUAUAGGAGUUACGGAUAUCGUUAUGAUAAGAAAAAGGUCUGGAGUUGUACCGUUUGGGGAUUUUUUUUUCUUUUUUUUUAUUCGGUGAAAUCAUCAACACCUGUGAGAAGGCAACCGGUACAAUCGCGAAGAAUUAUCGAGAUCGGAUGACAACUCAUAACCGAUCGGGCGACCGCACAAUUAAUAGUUAAAAAUAAUACGUCUAAAAUAGGAUUAAUACUUGAGAUAUGAAUAAGCGAGAUUGAGUAACUAAUUAGUUUGGUAUGAUUUGAAACUCCCACUUUACGUUUCAGUUUGAUUUUUCCAACCUUUGGACGAUUUUGUUUUUACUUUUUGUCAAUUGACUAAGGAUAAAUCGAGAUGGUUGACAUCUCGCGAGACAAUCUAUCGAUUAAUCAAUAAUUACAUUUUCAAUAAUUCAGUUUGCUUUUUGCCAUUAUUUUUCUAUCCGAUUACUGAGACAAAUAUUUUGUAUGGAUAGUAUAGACCAAGGUAGAUGGGAACAAGAAUGCUAAAUUAAUAUAAAUUAAUUAUCUCCGUGAAUUGAUACCCCUAAGCUCCAAUUAUCGAUUUAUUUUUAUCUCAAUUCCUUUGUCGUGCCUGAUAUUGAAUUUUUAAGUAGUUAUUAAUCCCGUGAAAGCUGUGACGAAUUACUGAGAGUAAGAGUUAACGUUAGGAAUCGUUAGAUGUGCGUUGAUAAUAAUGUUUACGAUAUAUCUAAACAAUAAUGGGAAUUCUGGGGGUGAAUGAAAAAUUGUGAGAAAUUACGAGGAAAAAUGAAAACAUAAAAAAUAUCUCAGGUUACAUCGAAUAAGAGGUUACAAGCCACUAGCGAAGCGGUAUAACAUUUUAAGACAAUUUUGACUAAUGGUUAUUGUUCGAUGAAUAUCUCAAAAUCUGCGGCAGAUAGCGAAGUUUUUGUUAGAACCUAUUUUGUAGCUCUUAAUUUUCUCUAAAAAAGAGACAAGUACAAAAAUUUCGAUAUUUUGCUUUGGGCCAGAGAUCUUUAUGGAAAAUCCAGCUGAAAGCCAAGUCGUCUUAAAUCGAUGUACUGUGUCGCUGCGAAAAUAUUUCUAUCGUCCCGUGUGCGCGAAUUCCUUUGAAAUUAAUUUCUUGGAUAUUCAUGAAGGACAUCUCAUCGAGCCAAAUGAGCAACUAAAAAUUGAGAAAUGCAAAAUUCUAAAGUCCGAAUCACAUUCUCGAAAAAAAAUUAUCAAAGAACGUCACGAGGUCGCAUCCUCAUCACACAGAUCAAUAAUCAAUAACACCAGAAAUAACGUGGACAUUCACUGAAACAAAGAACUAGAAAUGAUCGGAGAAUUGGGGUUUCUAGCGUAUCUUCAUUAUAAAAUGAUUGAUGUACCUCAGUUAAGACUAACUAAUCUGUAAGAUAACUAACAUAGGAUGCGGUAAAUUGUGAUAAGUUGAUUAGGCUCAUCGCUACGUACACUCAAAAUCAUUUGAUGAUAAUUGAUUCAAUUUAAAGUACUUCCUCUGCACCGGUGCAACUAAAUCUGGAGUACUGAGAUGAUUCUUUAAAUAGAACUGGACAAUUUGACAUCGCGAUGCCUACGAUGUAAGUCGACGUAGUACUCAUCAAUUUUCAAUGAAUAUCUUGGAAUCUGAGCCAGAUAGACAAAUUUUCGGCACAAUGUUUUUCGUAGAUUAAAUUGAGAAACAUAAUUGAGAUUUUCACGAAAAUUUAGCUGUCUCAAUUAGGUUCAGAGAUAUUUCUCGAAUACUCAGGUAGAAAUCAUGUCGACGCGAAUCACUUCACUGCUACGCUGCGAGAAUAAUUCCAUCUCCUCUCGGGAAAAGUAAAAUUCCUUUGAAAUUAAUUUCCUGGAGAUUUACGACUGGCUAGUGGUCUAGUCAAACGAAGAGUAGUUAAACCGUGACGAAGGCGAAAAAUGGCAAUUUAAGAGGGGCAUCUCUAAAAAAAAUCACCACAAAACAUAACGGGUUCGUGUCCUCACCGCGAAGAUCAAUAAACAAUAACAGCACAAAUAACAUUUUACAUCCACCGGAAGAACGAACCUCCAAACGAUCGAGAGAAGGGUUUCCAGAGUAUCUUAAUUAAUUAUCAAAUAAUGAUUGAUGUACCUCAUUUAAGACUAACUAGUUUGUAAGGUAACUGACAUAGGAUUAAUUGAAUUUUGAUAAGUUGAUUGGACUCAUCGUUACGUACAUUUAAAAUCACUCGAUGAUGAUAUCCCCCACAAGAUACCACAAUGAAAUGUACUUCCUUUUCACCGGUUCAACUGAAUCCGGAGCACUGAGAUGGGGUUCUUUAAAUAGAGCUCUAAACGCUUGGCAUCGCGACGCCUACUGGUGGCACUCAGGAAGUUUCAUCCCACGCAUUAAGCUUUUCGAAAAGCACGAAAUAUUUUGCAAUGCUAUUAAUAAUACAAAUCCCGAUGUAGUUGGAUGAAUCACUAGCAUCAGAAUGCUUGACUAACUGGUUGAGACAAUAUUUUGUUGAUACAUUUGAUGACACAUUUGAUGAUAUCACAGCACUAUGAAUAUGCAACAACACUUUGGUCAGAAUAUUUGUUGAUAGCAUUCAUGAGAUAUUAAGAGGACAGCAUUAUCUUUUGAGAUGUCUAUAUUUGGGGCUUGUGAGGGAGCAAUUGAAACACUCUUGACGUAUUUACACUCGUGCACACAUAACGUGUUACAGAUAUUUGAUGUUUCAUUGUAAUUUAUUGUUGCACGAUAAACACCUGUCUCGAUUUGAAAUUAAUCACAACUAUUUUCCAUUUCAAUGGUAAUUAAUCGAGAUACGUUGCUAGGGUGUGUCGAAUCAUGUCUCAGUAAUGAAAAUUGAGAUUAUUCACUAAAUAAAGAGGAUGGAAACAUGAAAUGUCUAGGGUAUCAUCGAUGUGGAUUACUGUAAUUCAUCCUGUGGUAGCAAUAGCAUGAUAUUAAACAGACACCAUUGAAUACGAUCGUCAACCAGAAUAGAGGAAAAUUACAGAUCUAUCCAGAACAACACAAUGUCCUAAUUGUCUUGAAAUAAUGAAUAUCGGAUUUUAAAUCGCGGCAUUAGUAGAUACUAAGGUUUUACUCUAUUAGGGACUUAAGAAUGCUAGAUUGUGAGCGCUUAUACUGUAAUGAAGUCAACUCAAACUCAAAAUUAAUGGAGAUCUAAUGAUUAAAAUUAAAAUCAUAACAUCUGGAGAACAGAAAACAGUGAGAGGUUUUGAGGCUGAAGGUGGUGUUAAACUGCUACCCAGUGGUUCCCUAACUGAGAACCAUUUUUUUUUCUCCAAUAUUUCAAUGUAAUUGAAAUUGUUGCAUUACGAAGUGAAAAAACACGUCUGGUACUGGAUAAAACGGCUGUUGUCAUUCUCACAGCCAUUAUUUAGAUUUCGUCAUACAUAAGAUUUUUUUUUAGAUCAUAGUUCUCACGGAAAAUUAUCAGAAAUCGUCUGUAACUUGGUAACUACGGUUUGAGCGUUGAAUGUAACUUGAGGUGAAGUAAUUUUACUGAUGAUAAGGUAAAAGUAAAUAGUCGUAAUCAUAGCCAGUGGCGAUUCUGUAAACAUCUCGAUGAUUGUAAUUAAUGAGGAUUCGUUGCGGCGUGCUUUGAUGGUCGUUGUAUAGUCCUCUGGGUUAUAAUUCAGACGAGUUGCAUCUGGUGAUUUAAUAGCUGAUUCUAUAACUAUUUAUCUGGAUACAUUUUUGGUUAAAAUACUGUAACUUCAUACACCAUUUGUAAUUGAGAAAUGAUUUAUAGUGAUCGAGGGAAAAGAGAAUAUCAAUAAAUAUGGAUUUUGAAGGAUCAAUUGUCAA